GAUAAACGCUGGCGGCGUGCUUUAUGCAUGCAAGUCGAACGAUUCGCCGCAAGGCGGAUAGUGGCAGACGGGUGAGUAACGCGUAAGUUAUCUAUCCUUGAGUGGGGAAUAACCCCGGGAACUGGGGCUAAUACCGCAUGACGCGCUGAGAAUAAUAUUUUAGCGUCAAAGCCGUAAGGCGCUUGAGGAUGAGCUUGCGUCCUAUCAGGUAGUUGGUAGGGUAAUGGCCUACCAAGCCGAUGACGGGUAGCUGGUCUGAGAGGAUGUCCAGCCACACUGGGGACUGAGAUACGGCCCAGACUCCUACGGGUGGCAG
Molecule: ribosomal RNA, 316 nt
Filed under: uncultured bacterium
Lineage: Bacteria
Description: bacterial SSU rRNA
Rfam family: Bacterial small subunit ribosomal RNA
Source: RNAcentral